GAAGGUAUAGCUCAGUGGUGGAGCACAUGCUAAGCAUGCAUAAGGUUCUGGGUUCAAUCCCCAAUACUUCCA
This 72-nucleotide transfer RNA is filed under the name Camelus bactrianus (Bactrian camel). It matches the Rfam family "tRNA". From Rfam's summary of the family: Transfer RNA (tRNA) molecules are approximately 80 nucleotides in length. Their secondary structure includes four short double-helical elements and three loops (D, anti-codon, and T loops). The record is from Rfam by way of RNAcentral. RNAcentral also lists the same sequence under 2 other names. Lineage: Eukaryota; Metazoa; Chordata; Mammalia; Artiodactyla; Camelidae.